CAAAGGACAGGCUCAGCUCAGCCUGCACUAUUCCCACCUACCUUACCUCACCCCUGGUGGGCAACAUGGCCCUGCAGAGCCCUGGUGUCCCAACCAGGUCAGGGCCGCAGGCGCACGGUGGAUGCAGCCAGGAGGCUGGCAUGCAAAAAGCAAUGCCCCUCUGCAGAAUGACAGAAAAAUCUGUCAAAAUAAAUGGUUUCUGACUCCCAAACUGACGUACUUGGGCAUCAGACUGCCUUUCUUCUCAGUAACAUAUGGGGAAAUGAGCUUGGGGACCACUAGGGAGUGUGAGUGAAAGCCAAAACUGCCAAGUGCUCUGUGUUGCCUUACGGGUGUGCGAUGUACUGUGGUGUUUGCGGAAUAGUGGUGUGUUACCAUGCAACAGCAGGUACGUCAGAGUUUGCAAGACCAGGGUGUUUAAGACGAUGGCUUCUUGCUGCUCAAGGAGCUGGAAUCGACCUUGAACCUCAUUUGAUUGCACAUGGGAAGAAGGUGCGGCAGAUAAUGAGGGAUGUCACAGCAUGGAGCUCAGUUUUAAAUCUGAAGAACAGUUGAAUGCUAUGAGGGACUAACUGGUUUCUCCGAGCUCACACAGCAAAGAUGAAAAAUUCCAUAUCCUGACUUCAGUUCAUGCCCUUCCCCAGGUUUCUCCUCCUCCAUGUGUCUGCACGCUCAUCCUUCAUCCCUCACAGUGGGCAAAUAGAAGGAAAAUAUUGCUGGUAAAAUUGUCUCUCCAAUGUUGCUGACAAGUAAUCUGUCCGUUGCUUAUUUUCAAUAUACACUGAGCUGGAGAACCUGCUAGUGUGUGUGUAUUUCUAAAGGUCUUGUAGCUGAUAUGGAAAUGUCUGACUUCUCUGAAUUAGCUGGACCUAAAAUUACAGUGAGUUGUGUGUGUGGACUGACAUUUCCAUUAGGCUUUGAGGUCAAAAGCCAUAUAAAAAUAAAAAUCCUCCAUAAAAUGUAUAUAAAUGAGCU
RNAcentral lists this long non-coding RNA (975 nucleotides) under Anser brachyrhynchus (Pink-footed goose). RNAcentral describes it as "lncRNA (ENSABRG00000009660.1)". The record is from RNAcentral. Lineage: Eukaryota; Metazoa; Chordata; Aves; Anseriformes; Anatidae.